GUCUACGGCCAUACCACCCUGAACACGCCCCGUCUCCUCUGAUCUAGGAAGCUGAGUAGGGUUGGGCCUGGUUACUGCUUGGAUAGGAGGAAGCACUCCUGGCGCCAGAUGCC
This is a non-coding RNA of Erinaceus europaeus (western European hedgehog), 113 nucleotides long. The record is from Rfam. NCBI's taxonomy places the organism in Eukaryota, Metazoa, Chordata, Mammalia, Eulipotyphla, Erinaceidae.